Maylandia zebra (zebra mbuna) is the source of this 306-nucleotide non-coding RNA. Lineage: Eukaryota; Metazoa; Chordata; Actinopteri; Cichliformes; Cichlidae. The record is from RefSeq and is a predicted model, not a curated record.
UGAUAAACCACCAACCGGCCAACAGCUCAGGUUUGAUAUUAUAGAGCUGAACGGCGCUCCUGUUCCAGUGCCAGGAGAUAGUGGAGCACUCAGAGUCGUGCAGGUAACCCAGCUGGACCGAGACACUGUUCUCAUCACCUUGGAAAGAACUGUAAAGAUCGUGAACCUGCAAGGACUUCCAUCCAGACAGCUGGCUGCAGAAAUAGUCUUUGACUUCCCCAUUGAAACACUAGUCUGCUUGCAGGAUAGUGUGCUGGCGUUCUGGAAGCAUGGCCUCAAAGGGAGGAGUUUCCAUUCAGAUGAGGU